AUUCAGCAGUGAUUGUGCAGUAUAGUGGUGGAGUAUUCAGCAGUGAUUGUGUAGUAUAGUGGUGGAGUAUUCAGCAGUGAUUGUGCAGUAUAGUGGUGGAGUAUUCAGCAGUGAUUGUGUAGUAUAGAGGUGGAGUAUUCAGCAGUGAUUGUGUAGUAUAGAGGUGGAGUAUUCAGCAGUGAUUGUGCAGUAUAGUGGUGGAGUAUUCAGCAGUGAUUGUGUAGUAUAGAGGUGGAGUAUUCAGCAGUGAUUGUGUAGUAUAGUGGUGGAGUAUUCAGCAGUGAUUGUGUAGUAUAGUGGUGGAGUAUUCAGCAGUGAUUGUGUAGUAUAGAGGUGGAGUAUUCAGCAGUGAUUGUGUAGUAUAGAGGUGGAGUAUUCAGCAGUGAUUGUGCAGUAUAGUGGUGGAGUAUUCAGCAGUGAUUGUGUAGUAUAGAGGUGGAGUAUUCAGCAGUGAUUGUGUAGUAUAGUGGUGGAGUAUUCAGCAGUGAUUGUGUAGUAUAGAGGUGGAGUAUUCAGCAGUGAUUGUGUAGUAUAGAGGUGGAGUAUUCAGCAGUGAUUGUGUAGUAUAGAGGUGGAGUAUUCAGCAGUGAUUGUGCAGUAUAGUGGUGGAGUAUUCAGCAGUGAUUGUGUAGUAUAGAGGUGGAGUAUUCAGCAGUGAUUGUGUAGUAUAGAGGUGGAGUAUUCAGCAGUGAUUGUGUAGUAUAGAGGUGGAGUAUUCAGCAGUGAUUGUGUAGUAUAGAGGUGGAGUAUUCAGCAGUGAUUGUGUAGUAUAGCGGUGGAGUAUUCAGCAGUGAUUGUGUAGUAUAGAGGUGGAGUAUUCAGCAGUGAUUGUGUAGUAUAGAGGUGGAGUAUUCAGCAGUGAUUGUGUAGUAUAGAGGUGGAGUAUUCAGCAGUGAUUGUGCAGUAUAGUGGUGGAGUAUUCAGCAGUGAUUGUGUAGUAUAGAGGUGGAGUAUUCAGCAGUGAUUGUGUAGUAUAGUGGUGGAGUAUUCAGCAGUGAUUGUGUAGUAUAGAGGUGGAGUAUUCAGCAGUGAUUGUGUAGUAUAGAGGUGGAGUAUUCAGCAGUGAUUGUGUAGUAUAGAGGUGGAGUAUUCAGCAGUGAUUGUGCAGUAUAGUGGUGGAGUAUUCAGCAGUGAUUGUGUAGUAUAGAGGUGGAGUAUUCAGCAGUGAUUGUGUAGUAUAGUGGUGGAGUAUUCAGCAGUGAUUGUGUAGUAUAGUGGUGGAGUAUUCAGCAGUGAUUGUGUAGUAUAGAGGUGGAGUAUUCAGCAGUGAUUGUGUAGUAUAGAGGUGGAGUAUUCAGCAGUGAUUGUGUAGUAUAGUGGUGGAGUAUUCAGCAGUGAUUGUGCAGUAUAGUGGUGGAGUAUUCAGCAGUGAUUGUGUAGUAUAGAGGUGGAGUAUUCAGCAGUGAUUGUGUAGUAUAGAGGUGGAGUAUUCAGCAGUGAUUGUGUAGUAUAGAGGUGGAGUAUUCAGCUUUGAUUGUGUAGUAUAGUGGUGGAGUAUUCAGCAGUGAUUGUGUAGUAUAGUGGUGGAGUAUUCAGCAGUGAUUGUGUAGUAUAGAGGUGGAGUAUUCAGCAGUGAUUGUGUAGUAUAGAGGUGGAGUAUUCAGCAGUGAUUGUGUAGUAUAGAGGUGGAGUAUUCAGCUUUGAUUGUGUAGUAUAGUGGUGGAGUAUUCAGCAGUGAUUGUGUAGUAUAGUGGUGGAGUA
This is a long non-coding RNA of Myxocyprinus asiaticus (Chinese sucker), 1701 nucleotides long. RefSeq lists it as uncharacterized. The transcript is spliced from 8 exons. The record is from RefSeq and is a predicted model, not a curated record. NCBI's taxonomy places the organism in Eukaryota, Metazoa, Chordata, Actinopteri, Cypriniformes, Catostomidae.